AAGACCUCGCGCUACUAGAGCGGCCGAUGCCCGAUUAGCUAGUUGGUGAGGUAAUGGCCCACCAAGGCAACGAUCGGUAGCUGGUCUGAGAGGAUGAUCAGCCACACUGGGACUGAGACACGGCCCAGACUCCUACGGGAGGCAGCAGUGGGGAAUUUUGGACAAUGGGCGAAAGCCUGAUCCAGCCAUGCCGCGUGAGUGAAGAAGGCCUUCGGGUUGUAAAGCUCUUUCAGCCGGAACGAAAUCGUCCGGGCUAAUACUCCGGAUGGAUGACGGUACUGGAAGAAGAAGCACCGGCUAACUACGUGCCAGCAGCCGCGGUAAUACGUAGGGUGCAGGCGUUAAUCGGAAUUACUGGGCGUAAAGCGUGCGCAGGCGGCUUUUCAAGUCAGAUGUGAAAUCCCCGGGCUUAACCUGGGAACU
This 423-nucleotide ribosomal RNA is filed under the name uncultured bacterium. RNAcentral describes it as "bacterial SSU rRNA". It matches the Rfam family "Bacterial small subunit ribosomal RNA", at positions 202 to 622 of the family's 1533-position model. The record is from RNAcentral.